Priapulus caudatus is the source of this 319-nucleotide long non-coding RNA. RefSeq lists it as uncharacterized. The record is from RefSeq and is a predicted model, not a curated record. The transcript has 3 exons. Lineage: Eukaryota; Metazoa; Priapulida; Priapulimorpha; Priapulimorphida; Priapulidae.
UCUCGUGCCUCGGCCGCGGAUACGUGUCCGCCCCGCCCUCGUCGAAUACCUGUCGCGCAACGCCAAUUAUCAUGCUCACCGUAGCGUCGUGUCUGUGAGCACUGAAGUCCAGCAGGAUGGCGUCGAGGUUGCCGCGUGACGCGGCGUCGUCGACGUCGCCAACGACGAUGAAGCUCUCAGUUCCCUCGUGCAGGACCACGAUCUCGUCAUCAGCCUGCUGCCGUACGACAUGCACGGCCGCGUGGCGAAGCACUGCAUCCGCCACCAGACGAACAUGGUGACAAGCAGCUACGUGACGCCGGAGAUGCGCGAGCUCGAG